GACGAAGGAUGCAAGCGUUAUCCGGAUUCAUUGGGUUUAAAGGGAGCGUAGGUGGCCUUAUAAGUCAGUGGUGAAAUCUCGCAGCUUAACUGCGAAAUUGCCAUUGAUACUGUAGGGCUUGAGUACAGUUGCUGUGGGCGGAAUAUGACAUGUAGUGGUGAAAUACAUAGAGAUGUCAUAGAACACCGAUUGCGAAGGCAGCUCUCUGGGACGGUACUGACGCUGAGACGCGAAAGCGUGGGGAGCGAACAGG
This 253-nucleotide ribosomal RNA is filed under the name uncultured bacterium. RNAcentral describes it as "partial 16S ribosomal RNA". It matches the Rfam family "Bacterial small subunit ribosomal RNA", at positions 524 to 776 of the family's 1533-position model. The record is from RNAcentral.